Molecule: long non-coding RNA, 1487 nt
Filed under: Bemisia tabaci
Lineage: Eukaryota; Metazoa; Arthropoda; Insecta; Hemiptera; Aleyrodidae
Description: lncRNA ENSSSA2NGG004531
Source: RNAcentral
AUGAGGAGAUUUGAUGCCCCUUACAUCAAUUUAGGAGGCAAAGAUCCUGUUCUCUUUCGAAGAAACGUCUUUCAUGUUGAUUUUCCUAAAGAGUGGGCCACCUCUGAUCUAAUCAGUCUCUUCAAACCUUACGGUGAUGUGGAUGUAGUCUGGUGCAAUUCAACCUCUGCCUGGGUCUCUCUCUAUGAUAAGAGCAACAACACAAUUCAGAAAGUUAUUAAGAAUCUAGUGAACUGCACUGAGCCAAAGAAUUACACAGUCCGAACAUUUGCCCAGUAUCAAGACUAUCUAGAGAGCAUGUCCUCGCCUGUAACAAAUCCAUCACCUUCGAUGGGAUACCGAAAGCGAAAACUCCUGGAAAUGGCUUCACCUGAUGCUGGAAACUCAGCAAAAACGCCAAAGAUGGAGCCUACAACCACGAAUGAAUCUGAAGAUGGUGACGGCGAGGACGAGGAAAGCUCCAACAACCUGACCGGAGAUACGGCCGAGAUGGAGGAGGGCUCGGAAAAUGGCAGCGCCGAGACGGACGGAGACGGGGAGGAGGAGGCCACGUCCGCCGAGGAGGAGGAAGCAGAUGCCGAGGAGGAGGAAGGAGAUACCGAGGAGGAGGAAGGAGAUGCCGCGGAGAACGGUAAAGAGGUCGAAGAGGAAGAAGAAGAAGACGAACUUGACGAGCAUGACGAUGACGAGAACGGAGUCGAAGAACUCAAAAGCAAAGGACUCACCACAAAUUCAAAGCAACCCAGAAAAUCUGGCAGACCCAAAAAGACAUCGAAUAGCAAAUCAAAGCAAUUGUUCCAAGAAAAUGAUGCUUGGGAAUGACAUGAUCAAACAUACCCUUCCGUUUGUCUUUAAAUGUUAAACUGCUGUCGACGCCUCUGGUUUGCACAUCUUCCAUCAACAUGUUCAUCGCUGCAGAUUAUUGACAUCGAAACACAUAUCUUCUGGUCUUGGAACGAUUUACUUACUCUUUUUCGACGAAUUCAAUGAUUCCCCGUUAACAAAUCAUUAUACUUACUGAAACAGCAAAAAUCUGUUCUGACCGACUGUCAGCUAUUAUGGGCCGUUUUUUUUUCAAAUUCCAGCGAAUGACUUUGAUCCUAAAUAAAAAGAGUGUUAUAUUGGUACAGCGUUGCAAAAAAAGUUUUUUUUUAAUGAACUUUCCCGUUGAUAUUUGUUCAGCAAAUUUUAACUUAAGUAUCCAUUGCCACGAUUUUUUAACGAGUUUUUUCCUUUCGCGAGACGAGAGAAAACCUCGUUAAAUAAAAUAUAAGUACCUAACGUGGUGUCAUUCUUGUUUUACCCGAUGAUUUUAACUGGCCAGGACUUACACCAAAAUUUGAAAUCUGUACUCUCGUGGUAUGUUGUGUACUUUCCAGAAAGUUAAUAAAACUGUGAAACCCGACUUUAUCUGUUUGAUUAUUCAUUCACUAUUUCUGCCUCAAUGCAACCAAGUCUCUUGGUAGCUUUGCCGAAGUACACAAGUU